Molecule: ribosomal RNA, 968 nt
Filed under: uncultured Methanomicrobiales archaeon
Lineage: Archaea; Methanobacteriati; Methanobacteriota; Methanomicrobia; Methanomicrobiales
Description: bacterial SSU rRNA
Rfam family: Archaeal small subunit ribosomal RNA
Source: RNAcentral
UUUAAGCAAUUGCGAGUCGAGAGGUGCAAGACCUCGGCGCACUGCUCAGUAACACGUGGACAACCUACCCUGUGGAGGGGGAUAACCCCGGAAAACUGGGGAUAAUACCCCAUAGGUUAGGGAGGCUGGAAUGCCCCCUAGCUCAAAGGUCCGCCGCCACAGGAUGGGUCUGCGGCCGAUUAGGUUGUUGUUGGGGUAACGGCCCAACAAGCCUUUGAUCGGUACGGGUUGUGGGAGCAAGAGCUCGGAGAUGGAUUCUGAGACACGAAUCCAGGCCCUACGGGGCGCAGCAGGCGCGAAAACUUUACAAUGCGAGAAAUCGUGAUAAGGGAACCCCGAGUGCCCGUAAAUUCGGGCUGUCCGCCAGUGCAAAAAACUGGUGAAGAAAGAGCCGGGCAAGACCGGUGCCAGCCGCCGCGGUAAUACCGGCGGCUCGAGUGGUGGCCACUAUUACUGGGCUUAAAGCGUCCGUAGCUUGGUUGUUAAGUCUCCUGGGAAAUCCAUCGGCUCAACCGAUGGGCGUUCAGGAGAUACUGGCAACCUAGGGACCGGGAGAGGUGAGAGGUACUCCAGGGGUAGGAGUGAAAUCCUGUAAUCCUUGGGGGACCACCUGUGGCGAAGGCGUCUCACUAGAACGGCUCCGACAGUGAGGGACGAAAGCUGGGGGAGCAAACCGGAUUAGAUACCCGGGUAGUCCCAGCUGUAAACGAUGCGCGUUAGGUGUAUCGGUGACCACGAGUCACCGAGGUGCCGAAGAGAAAUCGUGAAACGUGCCGCCUGGGAAGUACGGUCGCAAGGCUGAAACUUAAAGGAAUUGGCGGGGGAGCACCACAACAGGUGGAGCCUGCGGUUUAAUCGGACUCAACGCCGGGAAGCUCACCGGAUAAGACAGCUGAAUGAUAGCCGGGUUGAAGACUCUGCUUGACUAGCUGAGAGGAGGUGCAUGGCCGUCGUCAGUCGUACUGAGA